GUCGACGGCAGCAUAGGAGCUUGCUCCUGAUGGCGAGUGGCGAACGGGUGAGUAAUAUAUCGGAACGUGCCCUAGAGUGGGGGAUAACUAGUCGAAAGACUAGCUAAUACCGCAUACGAUCUACGGAUGAAAGUGGGGGAUCGCAAGACCUCAUGCUCCUGGAGCGGCCGAUAUCUGAUUAGCUAGUUGGUGGGGUAAAAGCCUACCAAGGCAACGAUCAGUAGCUGGUCUGAGAGGACGACCAGCCACACUGGGACUGAGACACGGCCCAGACUCCUACGGGAGGCAGCAGUGGGGAAUUUUGGACAAUGGGGGCAACCCUGAUCCAGCAAUGCCGCGUGAGUGAAGAAGGCCUUCGGGUUGUAAAGCUCUUUUGUCAGGGAAGAAACGGUAGUAGCGAAUAACUAUUACUAAUGACGGUACCUGAAGAAUAAGCACCGGCUAACUACGUGCCAGCAGCCGCGGUAAUACGUAGGGUGCAAGCGUUAAUCGGAAUUACUGGGCGUAAAGCGUGCGCAGGCGGUUGUGUAAGUCAGAUGUGAAAUCCCCGGGCUCAACCUGGGAAUUGCAUUUGAGACUGCACGGCUAGAGUGUGUC
Molecule: ribosomal RNA, 597 nt
Filed under: Herbaspirillum huttiense subsp. huttiense
Lineage: Bacteria; Pseudomonadati; Pseudomonadota; Betaproteobacteria; Burkholderiales; Oxalobacteraceae
Description: bacterial SSU rRNA
Rfam family: Bacterial small subunit ribosomal RNA
Source: RNAcentral